This 1168-nucleotide ribosomal RNA is filed under the name Rhynchobrunnera orthospora. Its description in RNAcentral is "partial large subunit ribosomal RNA". It matches the Rfam family "Eukaryotic large subunit ribosomal RNA", at positions 76 to 1426 of the family's 3401-position model. Lineage: Eukaryota; Fungi; Ascomycota; Leotiomycetes; Helotiales; Ploettnerulaceae. The record is from RNAcentral.
UACCUCAGUAACGGCGAGUGAAGCGGUAACAGCUCAAAUUUGAAAGCUAGCUCUUCUAGGGUUCGCAUUGUAAUUUGUAGAAGAUGCUUCGGGUGUGGCCCCGGUCUAAGUUCCUUGGAACAGGACGUCAUAGAGGGUGAGAAUCCCGUAUGUGACUGGGUGCCUUCGCUCAUGUGAAGCUCUUUCGACGAGUCGAGUUGUUUGGGAAUGCAGCUCAAAAUGGGUGGUAAAUUUCAUCUAAAGCUAAAUAUUGGCCAGAGACCGAUAGCGCACAAGUAGAGUGAUCGAAAGAUGAAAAGCACUUUGGAAAGAGAGUUAAACAGUACGUGAAAUUGUUGAAAGGGAAGCGCUUGCAACCAGACUUGCGCGCUGAUGAUCAUCCGGGCUUCUGCCCGGUGCACUCGUCUGCGCUCAGGCCAGCAUCGGUUUCGGUGGUGGGAUAAAGGCCUUGGGAAUGUAGCUCCUCUCGGGGAGUGUUAUAGCCCUCGGUGCAAUGCCGCCUACCGGGACCGAGGACCGCGCUUCGGCUAGGAUGCUGGCGUAAUGGUUGUAAGCGACCCGUCUUGAAACACGGACCAAGGAGUCUAACAUCUAUGCGAGUGUUUGGGUGUCAAACCCAUACGCGGAAUGAAAGUGAACGGAGGUGAGAACCCUUAAGGGUGCAUCAUCGACCGGUCCUGAUGUCUUCGGAUGGAUCUGAGUAAGAGCAUAGCUGUUGGGACCCGAAAGAUGGUGAACUAUGCGUGAAUAGGGUGAAGCCAGAGGAAACUCUGGUGGAGGCUCGCAGCGGUUCUGACGUGCAAAUCGAUCGUCAAAUUUGCGUAUAGGGGCGAAAGACUAAUCGAACCAUUGACUUGCUCGCUACUAGGUGGUUAAGAGGUGUACGCAAAGGUACACUUAGUCCUUCAGUGGGCAACACUGUCAAAUUGCGGGGACGUCCUGUUUUAAAUGCUGAACUACCGCAGCCGCCCCGAAAGGGGCGGUGCGCACCAGGUUAAUGGCCUCGGGGAUGGUAAAAACGUUCAGAUAGGGAUGAUCCGCAGCCAAGUCCUACGGGGUCGCGCGACCCACGGAUGCAGUUCACAGACUAGAUGACAGUGGGUUAGAUGUUCUAGCUUAAGAUAUAGUCGAACCCCCCGAGAGAUCGGGGGCGGAGGGGUACCCCCAC